CUCCCCAACAUCAGACUGUACCCUCUGUCUCUAUCUUGUUACUUCCCUCUGUCUGUCUCAAUUUCUCUCUCAUGUCCCCUCCCAGAGCAAGCCUUCCAUUCUCACCAACCCUCCAAUAAACCUCGUGCCCUAGAUCUGUUGCAUGGUCUGUCUCUUAGCGACACACCUUAGCCCCGGACCUGCCAAAGAUAUUUUUAUCCUAGUAGCAACCCCUGAAAAACAGCCAGUGAUAUGGAGUCUCCCCUUGCCUUGCCUUGCCUACGACACUGUUCACCUCAGAAAUCAGCCAGUGGCAUCGAAUACAAGGAGUGUAUGGGAAGUAAACCAAAUACAUUUUGGAGAUAUCAAGUGUCCUGUUGAUACUGAUAAAACAAUACUGGGGAGAGGAUUUUUGACGGAAGAAAAGGAGGAUCUUUGGGGAAUACUAAAAAACACCAGUCAAUCAGACCAACAGUGA
This 457-nucleotide long non-coding RNA is filed under the name Rattus norvegicus (Norway rat). RNAcentral describes it as "long non-coding RNA NONRATT031922". Lineage: Eukaryota; Metazoa; Chordata; Mammalia; Rodentia; Muridae. The record is from RNAcentral.